This 211-nucleotide ribosomal RNA is filed under the name uncultured Pyrobaculum sp. RNAcentral describes it as "partial 16S ribosomal RNA". It matches the Rfam family "Archaeal small subunit ribosomal RNA", at positions 821 to 1031 of the family's 1478-position model. Lineage: Archaea; Thermoproteati; Thermoproteota; Thermoprotei; Thermoproteales; Thermoproteaceae. The record is from RNAcentral.
CCGCCGCCUGGGGAGUACGGCCGCAAGGCUGAAACUUAAAGGAAUUGGCGGGGGGGCACCACAAGGGGUGAAGCUUGCGGCUUAAUUGGAGUCAACGCCGGAAACCUCACCCGGGGCGACAGCAGGAUGAAGGCCAGGCUAACGACCUUGCCGGACGAGCUGAGAGGAGGUGCAUGGCCGUCGUCAGCUCGUGCCGUGAGGUGUCCGGUUA